UGGCUCUGACCUUCUCAUUUAUAAAAGAAUUCAAAUAAAGAAAUGGUGGCUAGGAAUGGCUUCACCCCUCCUACAUGGCUUGGCGAGGACUGGUGAUGGGUGACCCUUACCUGAGGAAUCACUGCAACAUCUUGAGGCACCUGUGCUGUUUUCCAUCUGCAGGUGCAGCAUGGAUCUGUCCUCGUGCUGCUGCAGCCGGUGUGGUUGGAAGGGCACCAGGGACCUGGCUCUGACCGCAGGCUCACAGCAGUACCUAGUGCUGGUCUGACCCCAAACACUCCUGUGGAACAUCUCCCAUAGCAUCAAUCACAAGUGCAGAAAAAUGCGCCGUGUCUCAUUGGUAUAAAUCAGUUGUGAACCUGUUGAGAUCAAUACGGUAAUACUAAUGGAGAAAUGGUGAGACAAGCUUUGAAAUUAAACUCUAUGGCCAAGAUAAAUUCACAUUGA
RNAcentral lists this long non-coding RNA (447 nucleotides) under Anas platyrhynchos platyrhynchos (common mallard). Its description in RNAcentral is "lncRNA (ENSAPLG00000028641.1)". The record is from RNAcentral. Lineage: Eukaryota; Metazoa; Chordata; Aves; Anseriformes; Anatidae.